UGGGGAAUUUUGGACAAUGGGCGAAAGCCUGAUCCAGCAAUGCCGCGUGUGUGAAGAAGGCCUUCGGGUUGUAAAGCACUUUUGUCCGGAAAGAAAUCCUUGGCUCUAAUACAGUCGGGGGAUGACGGUACCGGAAGAAUAAGCACCGGCUAACUACGUGCCAGCAGCCGCGGUAAUACGUAGGGUGCAAGCGUUAAUCGGAAUUACUGGGCGUAAAGCGUGCGCAGGCGGUUUGCUAAGACCGAUGUGAAAUCCCCGGGCUCAACCUGGGAACUGCAUUGGUGACUGGCAGGCUAGAGUAUGGCAGAGGGGGGUAGAAUUCCACGUGUAGCAGUGAAAUGCGUAGAGAUGUGGAGGAAUACCGAUGGCGAAGGCAGCCCCCUGGGCCAAAUACUGACGCUCAUGCACGAAAAGCGUGGGGGAGCAAACAGGAUUAGAUACCCCUGGUAGUCCACGCCCUAAAACGAUGUCAACUAGUUGUUGGGGAUUCAUUUCCUUAGUAACGUAGCUAACGCGUGAAGUUGACCGCCUGGGGAGUACGGUCGCAAGAUUAAAACUCAAAUGAAUUGACGGGGUCAUAGCUGUUU
RNAcentral lists this ribosomal RNA (587 nucleotides) under uncultured bacterium. Its description in RNAcentral is "partial 16S ribosomal RNA". It matches the Rfam family "Bacterial small subunit ribosomal RNA", at positions 355 to 935 of the family's 1533-position model. The record is from RNAcentral.